CAAGAGUGUAGCACAGACAGCCACGAGGACAUCCAGGUUUUUGAGAAGGGAGAAUCAAAUGCUGCACAUUACCUGCUCCAUGCUGCCCACUGAUGGAUCACACUCACGUCAGACAUGGAUAAUCUCUCUGAAGCUGCCUUCACCCAUCUUGUUUUGGUGCUUCAAGGCUCAUGCCAGAGGAUUGACAUCAUUUGUGGUCCUGAUUCAUCUGUCAAAGAGCUUCAGUGCAGCAGUGGAGUGCCCAGGGUCACCUCUGCAGCAAAGGAAUUACAGGAGAUGGAGCUAAUUGGGAAGGUAAAGCCCUUCUAGUGGCUAUGGCAAGGAACAGGACAUGGGUCUAGUCACUGCAGACAACAAGGAAUCACUUCAGCCUGUGCUAAAGGAGAUGAAUAAAGAUAUGCCACCCUGACCGUCA
RNAcentral lists this long non-coding RNA (415 nucleotides) under Junco hyemalis (dark-eyed junco). RNAcentral's name for it is "lncRNA (ENSJHYG00000012246.1)". Lineage: Eukaryota; Metazoa; Chordata; Aves; Passeriformes; Passerellidae. The record is from RNAcentral.